UACGGGGGGGGCAAGCGUUGUUCGGAAUUACUGGGCGUAAAAGGCUCGUAGGCGGCCAACUAAGUCAGACGCGAAAUCCCUCGGCUUAACCGGGGAACUGCGUCUGAUACUGGAUGGCUUGAGGUUGGGAGAGGGAUGCGGAAUUCCAGGUGUAGCGGUGAAAUGCGUAGAUAUCUGGAGGAACACCGGUGGCGAAGGCGGCAUCCUGGACCAAUUCUGACACUGAGGAGCGAAAGCCAGGGGAGCAAACGGG
Molecule: ribosomal RNA, 253 nt
Filed under: uncultured bacterium
Lineage: Bacteria
Description: partial 16S ribosomal RNA
Rfam family: Bacterial small subunit ribosomal RNA
Source: RNAcentral